GACGAACGCUGGCGGCGUGCUUAACACAUGCAAGUCGAACGGUAAGGCCCUUCGGGGUACACGAGUGGCGAACGGGUGAGUAACACGUGGGUGAUCUGCCCUGCACUUCGGGAUAAGCCUGGGAAACUGGGUCUAAUACCGGAUAGGACUCCGGACUGCAUGGUCUGGGGUGGCAAGCUUUUGCGGUGUGGGAUGGGCCCGCGGCCUAUCAGCUUGUUGGGGGGGUGAUGGCCUACCAAGGCGACGACGGGUAGCCGGCCUGAGAGGGUGACCGGCCACACUGGGACUGAGAUACGGCCCAGACUCCUACGGGAGGCAGCAGUGGGGAAUAUUGCACAAUGGGCGCAAGCCUGAUGCAGCGACGCCGCGUGAGGGAUGACGGCCUUCGGGUUGUAAACCUCUUUCAGCAUCGACGAAGCGAAAGUGACGGUAGGUGCAGAAGGAGGACCGGCCAACUACGUGCCAGCCGCCGCAGUAA
This 478-nucleotide ribosomal RNA is filed under the name uncultured bacterium. RNAcentral describes it as "partial 16S ribosomal RNA". It matches the Rfam family "Bacterial small subunit ribosomal RNA", at positions 28 to 523 of the family's 1533-position model. The record is from RNAcentral.